AGUGAACGCUGGCGGUAGGCCUAACACAUGCAAGUCGAACGGCAGCACAGGAGAGCUUGCUCUCUGGGUGGCGAGUGGCGGACGGGUGAGGAAUACAUCGGAAUCUACUCUGUCGUGGGGGAUAACGUAGGGAAACUUACGCUAAUACCGCAUACGACCUACGGGUGAAAGCAGGGGACCUUCGUGCCUUGCGCGAUUGAAUGAGCCGAUGUCGGAUUAGCUAGUUGGCGGGGUAAAGGCCCACCAAGGCGACGAUCCGUAGCUGGUCUGAGAGGAUGAUCGGCCACACUGGAACUGAGACACGGUCCAGACUCCUACGGGAGGCAGCAGUGGGGAAUAUUGGACAAUGGGAGCAAGCCUGAUCCAGCCAUACCGCGUGGGUGAAGAAGGCCUUCGGGUUGUAAAGCCCUUUUGUUGGGAAAGAAAUCCAGCUGGCUAAUACCCGGUUGGGAUGACGGUACCCAAAGAAUAAGCACCGGCUAACUUCGUGCCAGCCGCCGCCGUAA
This 506-nucleotide ribosomal RNA is filed under the name uncultured bacterium. Its description in RNAcentral is "partial 16S ribosomal RNA". It matches the Rfam family "Bacterial small subunit ribosomal RNA", at positions 29 to 523 of the family's 1533-position model. The record is from RNAcentral.